AACGCUUGUGGCACCAACUCGAUUUUUUCUCUCUCUGUUUCUUCUCUCUCUUCUCUCUUUCUGUCUGUGUGUGUCUGUGUGUGUAAACACCCAUGUGGUACACACACACGCCCCCCAUGUACACACAAGCAGGCGAUGUUGGGGUAACAAUAAAACACACAACCACCCAUACACAACCUCACACGCACACACAGGACUGUUGGGGCACAUGGUAGUGUUGGGGUAACAUGAAAACAUGCACACACACGGCCACAGAACUAUUCGGGUAUAUGUUGGUGUUGGGGUAACAUAAGACACAGAGACACACAGACAGACAGAGACAGAGAGACACACAUUCACACACACAGAGUCACACAGAGUCACACACAGUCACACACAGAGGCACAGAGACACACAUACAUAAACAGAGACACACACAGUCAAACGCACACAAAGACAGACACACACAGUCGAACACACACUAAGACAGAGACACACACAUACACACGAAGACAGAGACACACACACACACACACACACAUACACACAUACACACAUACAUACUCACACACAUAAACCUGCCUGUCAUGCAUUAUUCGUCUACGUCAUAUCCUGUCAGCCAAACAUCUCAUUUCCGAAUUGGUGGGUGCCCAUCAAACAGAUAGAGCAGCAUCCGAGCAGCAUCUCCUACUUCCUGCUCUGCUGCCGCUGAAAUGUUGCUGCUGCUUCCGAAACGGAGGAUGCUGCCCUGCUGCACCGGAGGCAGGCGGCUAUAGCCCAUGCUACCAUCCCGUCCUUGAUGACCACGCCGGUUCUCAGCACGUGUUCCCCACACAAGAUGAAACGGGUUGAUGCAUGCACGCUCGUCACAGAUGUGCAUCGCAUCAUACUGUGUGUGCGGCAGCACAUGUUGUUGUUGAGGUUGCUGCUGGGGUUGUUGCUGCUGCAUAGACGGGACAGCAGACACUGGAUGAUGGUUGGGCAACAGGAGGGAUGGAGGAGGUCCACGGAAGGCCCACAAAAUGAGCCGGCAUGCGUUUGUGGAGCUUGUGUACACAUCAAGAUCCGCACCCCCCUUACUGCAAUAAGCGGCCUUGGUGUUCUUGCAUUUUACCUGUGUCUUCUUGCCCCGCUGCAGCUGUUGCUUCUGGGGUUUGGUGCCCUGCUUCUUGGGGCGGGCAUCCUGCUGCACCGUCAUUGUGUUUGCCAUCAUUGUCACUGUUGUCUGAUGCUGCUUCUGCUUCUGCUUCUGCUUCUGCUGCUGCUGGCUUCUGGUGUUUGGACGACGGUGGCUGUUGCUCCCAGGAGCAGCAGCAGCAGCAGCAGCAGCAUCCAUGGGCAGCUCUUGUUUUUGCGGCUGCUUCUGCAGUGAUACUAAUUGCCAUGGUCCUGUGAUCAUGACCCGGGGAUAGUCACUGCGAUGCUGCUUGCUGAGGAUAAUGUCUAUCUUUGCACCAGCAGCACCAGCAGCACCAGCAGCAGCACCAGCAGCACCAGCAGCACCAGCACCAGCAGCACCAGCACCAGCAGCACCACCAGCAGCANNNNNNNNNNNNNNNNNNNNNNNNNNNNNNNNNNNNNNNNNNNNNNNNNNCUUUCUGUCUGUGUGUGUCUGUGUGUGUAAACACUCAUGUGGUACACACACACGCCCCCCAUGUACACACAAGCAGGCGAUGUGUGGGGUAACAAUAAAACACACAACCACCCACACACAACCUCACACGCUCACACACACAGGACUGUUGGGGCACAUGGUAGUGUUGGGGUAACAUGAAACACACGCAAUCACAGUCCUGAUGGGGCACAUGUUGGUGUUGGGGUAACAUAAGACACAGAGACACACAGACAGACAGAGACAGAGAGACACACACUCACACACACAGAGUCACACAGAGUCACACAGAGUCACACACAGUCACACACAGAGGCACAGAGACACACAUACAUAAACAGAGACACACACAGUCAAACGCACACAAAGACAGACACACACAGUCAAACACACACUAGUACAGAGACACACACACAUACACACAAAGACAGAGACACACACACACACACAUACACACAUACACACAGACAUACUCACACACAUAAACCUGCCUGUCAUGCAUUAUUCUUCUACAUCAUAUCCUGUCAGCCAGCCAAACAACUCAUUUCCGAAUUGGUGGGUGCCCAUCAAACAGAUAGAGCAACAUCCGAGCAGCAUCUCCUACUUCCUGCUCUGCUGCCGCUGAAAUGUUGCUGCUGCUUCCGAAACGGAGGAUGCUGCCCUGCUGCACCGGAGGCAGGCGGCUAUAGCCCAUGCUACCAUCCCGUCCUUGAUGACCACGCCGGUUCUCAGCACGUGUUCCCCACACAAGAUGAAACGGGUUGAUGCAUGCACGCUCGUCACAGAUGUGCAUCGCAUCAUACUGUGUGUGUGGCAGCACAUGUUGUUGUUGAGGUUGCUGCUGGGGUUGUUGCUGCUGCAUAGACGGGACAGCAGACACUGGAUGAUGGUUGGGCAACAGGAGGGAUG
Molecule: long non-coding RNA, 2500 nt
Filed under: Volvox carteri
Lineage: Eukaryota; Viridiplantae; Chlorophyta; Chlorophyceae; Chlamydomonadales; Volvocaceae
Description: long non-coding RNA (VCAR_LNC002807)
Source: RNAcentral